Molecule: long non-coding RNA, 210 nt
Organism: Triticum dicoccoides
Lineage: Eukaryota; Viridiplantae; Streptophyta; Magnoliopsida; Poales; Poaceae
Exons: 3
Source: RefSeq, a predicted model, not a curated record
CGACGCCGAGCUCAACGACGACUCCUACGACAACUGUAGCAGGAGAGCGCCUACAACCGUUGUGGCAGGAGUACCUCGGUGGAGUGAAGUUGAGGUCUGGGAGAUCCAUUUUCUCCUGAAGAUAUGAAUAUGUAAGAUGAAGUAGAAGUACAAGUAGAAGCACAAGGAAGACACUGGGUGGUGGAAUGAGGCAGGUAGGAGUCCUUUGUG